CGCUGGCGGCGUGCUUAACACAUGCAAGUCGAACGGGGAUAUAUCCGGAAGGGCUUCGGUUUGGAAGGAUGUAUUCGAGUGGCGGACGGGUGAGUAACGCGUGAGCAACCUGUCCCAGACAGGGGGAUAACACUUGGAAACAGGUGCUAAUACCGCAUAAGACCACGGGGUCGCAUGGCCUUGAGGUAAAAGGUGCAAACCGGUUUGGGGUGGGCUCGCGUCCGAUUAGAUAGUUGGUGAGGUAACGGCCCACCAAGUCGACGAUCGGUAGCCGACCUGAGAGGGUGAUCGGCCACAUUGGAACUGAGAGACGGUCCAAACUCCUACGGGAGGCAGCAGUGGGGAAUAUUGGGCAAUGGGCGAAAAAGCCUGACCCAGCAACGCCGCGUGAGUGAAGAAGGCUUUCGGGUUGUAAAACUCUGUUAUAGGGGACGAAGAGCGUGACGGUACCCUAUAAGGAAGCCCCGGCUAACUACGUGCCAGCAGCGGC
This 490-nucleotide ribosomal RNA is filed under the name uncultured bacterium. RNAcentral describes it as "bacterial SSU rRNA". It matches the Rfam family "Bacterial small subunit ribosomal RNA", at positions 34 to 518 of the family's 1533-position model. The record is from RNAcentral.